GCAGUGGGGAAUAUUGCACAAUGGGCGCAAGCCUGAUGCAGCCAUGCCGCGUGUGUGAAGAAGGCCUUCGGGUUGUAAAGCACUUUCAGUCGUGAGGAAGGUAGUGUAGUUAAUAGCUGCAUUAUUUGACGUUAGCGACAGAAGAAGCACCGGCUAACUCCGUGCCAGCAGCCGCGGUAAUACGGAGGGUGCGAGCGUUAAUCGGAAUUACUGGGCGUAAAGCGCAUGCAGGUGGUUUGUUAAGUCAGAUGUGAAAGCCCGGGGCUCAACCUCGGAACCGCAUUUGAAACUGGCAGGCUAGAGUACUGUAGAGGGGGGUAGAAUUUCAGGUGUAGCGGUGAAAUGCGUAGAGAUCUGAAGGAAUACCGGUGGCGAAGGCGGCCCCCUGGACAGAUACUGACACUCAGAUGCGAAAGCGUGGGGAGCAAACAGGAUUAGAUACCCUGGUAGUCCACGCCGUAAACGAUGUCUACUUGGAGGUUGUGGCCUUGAGCCGUGGCUUUCGGAGCUAACGCGUUAAGUAGACCGCCUGGGGAGUACGGUCGCAAGAUUAAAACUCAAAUGAAUUGACGGGGGCCCGCACAAGCGGUGGAGCAUGUGGUUUAAUUCGAUACAACGCGAA
RNAcentral lists this ribosomal RNA (622 nucleotides) under uncultured Gammaproteobacteria bacterium. Its description in RNAcentral is "bacterial SSU rRNA". It matches the Rfam family "Bacterial small subunit ribosomal RNA", at positions 351 to 965 of the family's 1533-position model. Lineage: Bacteria; Pseudomonadati; Pseudomonadota; Gammaproteobacteria. The record is from RNAcentral.